Molecule: ribosomal RNA, 253 nt
Filed under: uncultured bacterium
Lineage: Bacteria
Description: partial 16S ribosomal RNA
Rfam family: Bacterial small subunit ribosomal RNA
Source: RNAcentral
GACAGAGGUGCCGAGCGUUAGGCGGAAUCACUGGGCUUAAAGCGUGUGUAGGCGGAUGCCUAAGUACCUUGUGAAAUCCCACAGCUCAACUGUGGAACUGCUUGGUAUACUGGGUGUCUUGAGCCACUUAGGGGCUACCGGAACAAAUGGUGGAGCGGUGAAAUGCGUAGAUAUCAUUUGGAACGCCAAUGGUGAAAACAGGUAGCUGGGAGUGUGCUGACGCUGAGACACGAAAGCCAGGGGAGCAAACGGG